RNAcentral lists this ribosomal RNA (377 nucleotides) under uncultured bacterium. RNAcentral's name for it is "bacterial SSU rRNA". It matches the Rfam family "Bacterial small subunit ribosomal RNA", at positions 523 to 898 of the family's 1533-position model. The record is from RNAcentral.
AUACGUAGGUGGCGAGCGUUGUCCGGAAUUACUGGGCGUAAAGCGUGCGCAGGCGGUUUCGUAAGACAGGCGUGAAAUCCCCGGGCUUAACCUGGGAACUGCGCUUGUGACUGCGAGGCUAGAGUACGGCAGAGGGAGGUAGAAUUCCACGUGUAGCAGUGAAAUGCGUAGAGAUGUGGAGGAAUACCGAUGGCGAAGGCAGCCUCCUGGGCCAGUACUGACGCUCAUGCACGAAAGCGUGGGGAGCAAACAGGAUUAGAUACCCUGGUAGUCCACGCCCUAAACGAUGUCAACUAGGUGUUGGUGGGGUUAAACCCAUUAGUACCGCAGCUAACGCGUGAAGUUGACCGCCUGGGGAGUACGGCCGCAAGGUUAAA